This 497-nucleotide ribosomal RNA is filed under the name uncultured bacterium. RNAcentral describes it as "partial 16S ribosomal RNA". It matches the Rfam family "Bacterial small subunit ribosomal RNA", at positions 28 to 507 of the family's 1533-position model. The record is from RNAcentral.
GAUGAACGCUGGCGGCGUGCCUAAUACAUGCAAGUCGAGCGAACAGACGAGGAGCUUGCUCCCCUGACGUUAGCGGCGGACGGGUGAGUAACACGUGGAUAACCUACCUAUAAGGCUGGGAUAACUUCGGGAAACCGGAGCUAAUACCGGAUAAUAUAUUGAACCGCAUGGUUCAAUAGUGAAAGACGGUUUUGCUGUCACUUAUAGAUGGUUCCGCGCCGCAUUAGCUAGUUGGUAAGGUAACGGCUUACCAAGGCAACGAUGCGUAGCCGACCUGAGAGGGUGAUCGGCCACACUGGAACUGAGACACGGUCCAGACUCCUACGGGAGGCAGCAGUAGGGAAUCUUCCGCAAUGGGCGAAAGCUUGACGGAGCAACGCCGCGUGAGUGAUGAAGGUCUUCGGAUCGUAAAACUCUGUUAUUAGGGAAGAACAAAUGUGUAAGUAACUAUGCACGUCUUGACGGUACCUAAUCAGAAAGCCACGGCUAACUACGUG